This 392-nucleotide ribosomal RNA is filed under the name uncultured bacterium. RNAcentral describes it as "partial 16S ribosomal RNA". It matches the Rfam family "Bacterial small subunit ribosomal RNA", at positions 523 to 918 of the family's 1533-position model. The record is from RNAcentral.
AUACGUAUGUCGCAAGCGUUAUCCGGAUUUAUUGGGCGUAAAGCGCGUCUAGGCGGCUUAGUAAGUCUGAUGUGAAAAUGCGGGGCUCAACCCCGUAUUGCGUUGGAAACUGCUAAACUAGAGUACUGGAGAGGUAGGCGGAACUACAAGUGUAGAGGUGAAAUUCGUAGAUAUUUGUAGGAAUGCCGAUGGGGAAGCCAGUGUACUGGACAGAUACUGACGCUAAAGCGCGAAAGCGUCGGUAGCAAACAGGAUUAGAUACCCUGGUAGUCCACGCCGUAAACGAUGAUUACUAGGUGUUGGGGGUCGAACCUCAGCGCCCAAGCUAACGCGAUAAGUAAUUCGCCUGGGGAGUACGUACGCAAGUAUGAAACUUAAAGGAAUUGACGGGG